AAAUAUUUCGAGCGGUUUGCGUCUCGGCUAAGCAAAGUGGUAUACUGUUUCAGUGAGUGCAGUAAUGGCUCCUGAAACUAGAUAGCUCUUUUUCAACCAUUUGCUCGAUCCUGGGAAGGCGCCAAAUUGAUAUCGCCAUUUGAAUCUUUAUACAUAACCAGCAAUUGUCCUUCAAGGUUUCUUGAAGGUAGAAAUCCUUAAGCUCGUUCAUUUUCGCUCGCACUAGAGGAAGAGAAGUAUCGCGGUUUCCAAGUUCCGAACAAUUUAAGUUUUCUACAAAGUGAAACGUGUUCCUUCAAAGUUUGCAGAAGAUAGCUGCUUAUUUCGGUCAGUGCGUCUGACACUUUCGCGAUUCUCUCCAUUUGUCGGAGUAGAUAUUGAGACAGAAAAAGCGCGUAGGCGCUUUUUUUGUACGGGCUGGAAUUUUGUGACGACCAGCGGAGUCGAAUUGGGGUUCCAUCCAUUUUGCUGUGGAUCGCGGUGCGACCAAAAUUGAGCUUGCGUGUCCG
This is a long non-coding RNA of Armigeres subalbatus, 509 nucleotides long. RefSeq lists it as uncharacterized. Lineage: Eukaryota; Metazoa; Arthropoda; Insecta; Diptera; Culicidae. The record is from RefSeq and is a predicted model, not a curated record. The transcript has 3 exons.